GACGAACGCUGGCGGCGUGCCUAAUACAUGCAAGUAGAACGCUGAAGGAAGGAGCUUGCUCUUUCUGGAUGAGUUGCGAACGGGUGAGUAACGCGUAGGUAACCUGCCUGGUAGCGGGGGAUAACUAUUGGAAACGAUAGCUAAUACCGCAUAAAAUUGAUUAUUGCAUGAUAGUCAAUUAAAAGGUGCAACUGCACCACUACCAGAUGGACCUGCGUUGUAUUAGCUAGUUGGUGGGGUAACGGCUCACCAAGGCGACGAUACAUAGCCGACCUGAAAGGGGGAUCGGCCACACUGGGACUGGGACACGGCCCAGAAUCCUACGGGAGGCAGCAGUAGGGAAUCUUCGGCAAUGGACGGAAGUCUGACCGAGCAACGCCGCGUGAGUGAAGAAGGUUGUCGGAUCGUAAAGCUCUGUUGUAAGAGAAGAACGAGUGUGAGAGUGGAAAGUGCACACUGUGACGGUAUCUUACCAGAAAGGGACGGCUAACUACGUG
This 497-nucleotide ribosomal RNA is filed under the name uncultured bacterium. RNAcentral describes it as "partial 16S ribosomal RNA". It matches the Rfam family "Bacterial small subunit ribosomal RNA", at positions 28 to 507 of the family's 1533-position model. The record is from RNAcentral.